Molecule: ribosomal RNA, 253 nt
Filed under: uncultured bacterium
Lineage: Bacteria
Description: partial 16S ribosomal RNA
Rfam family: Bacterial small subunit ribosomal RNA
Source: RNAcentral
UACGAAGGGGGCUAGCGUUGCUCGGAAUCACUGGGCGUAAAGCGCACGUAGGCGGGUCGUUAAGUCAGGGGUGAAAUCCCGGAGCUCAACUCCGGAACUGCCUUUGAUACUGGCGAUCUUGAGUUCGAGAGAGGUGAGUGGAACUGCGAGUGUAGAGGUGAAAUUCGUAGAUAUUCGCAAGAACACCAGUGGCGAAGGCGAUUCUCUGGACCAUAACUGACGCUGAGGCAUGAAAGCGUGGGUAGCAAACAGG